Non-coding RNA from Acanthosepion pharaonis, 107 nucleotides. The record is from the annotation of a GenBank genome assembly. NCBI's taxonomy places the organism in Eukaryota, Metazoa, Mollusca, Cephalopoda, Sepiida, Sepiidae.
GCCAGAUCACGUUAUAAUACCGGUUCCCGUACGAUCCCCGAAGUUAAUCAAUGUUGAGCCUGGUCAGUACGUAGAUGGGUGAUCGCUUGAGAAUACCAGGCGCUGUG